Molecule: ribosomal RNA, 500 nt
Filed under: uncultured bacterium
Lineage: Bacteria
Description: partial 16S ribosomal RNA
Rfam family: Bacterial small subunit ribosomal RNA
Source: RNAcentral
AUUGAACGCUGGCGGCAGGCCUAACACAUGCAAGUCGAGCGGAUGACGGGAGCUUGCUCCUUGAUUCAGCGGCGGACGGGUGAGUAAUGCCUAGGAAUCUGCCUGGUAGUGGGGGACAACGUUUCGAAAGGAACGCUAAUACCGCAUACGUCCUACGGGAGAAAGCAGGGGACCUUCGGGCCUUGCGCUAUCAGAUGAGCCUAGGUCAGAUUAGCUAGUAGGUGAGGUAAUGGCUCACCUAGGCGACGAUCCGUAACUGGUCUGAGAGGAUGAUCAGUCACACUGGAACUGAGACACGGUCCAGACUCCUACGGGAGGCAGCAGUGGGGAAUAUUGGACAAUGGGCGAAAGCCUGAUCCAGCCAUGCCGCGUGUGUGAAGGAGGUCUUCGGAUUGUAAAGCACUUUAAGUUGGGAGGAAGGGUUGUACGUUAAUACCGUGCAAUUUUGACGUUACCGACAGAAUAAGCACCGGCUAACUCUGUGCCAGCCGCCGCCGUAA